GGCCAGCAUCAGUUUGGACGGUAGGAUANUGACUAGGGAAUGUGGCUNUUCNAGGGAGAGUGUUAUAGCCUUNGUUGAUACUGCCAGUCUAGACUGAGGACCGCGUCUUUGACAAGGAUGUUGGCAUAAU
This 130-nucleotide ribosomal RNA is filed under the name Millerozyma acaciae. RNAcentral's name for it is "partial 26S rRNA". Lineage: Eukaryota; Fungi; Ascomycota; Pichiomycetes; Serinales; Debaryomycetaceae. The record is from RNAcentral.